This 6215-nucleotide long non-coding RNA is filed under the name Triticum aestivum (bread wheat). RNAcentral's name for it is "long non-coding RNA (TAES_LNC000469)". Lineage: Eukaryota; Viridiplantae; Streptophyta; Magnoliopsida; Poales; Poaceae. The record is from RNAcentral.
UAUGCGGGUUUGGCCAUUGUCGGAGCAGGAGGUAUGGGAAAAUCCACCUUGGCACAACAUGUUUACAAUGACAAGAGGGUACAAGAACAUUUUAAUGUCAGGAUGUGGGUUUGCAUCUCACGCAAACUUGAUGUCCAUCGUCACACACGGGAGAUUAUCGAAUCCGCAGCUAAGGGGGAGUGCCCACGUGUUGAUAAUCUGGAUACUCUGCAGUGCCAAUUAAGGGACAUACUGCAAAAAUCAGAGAAAUUCUUGCUUGUGUUGGAUGAUGUUUGGUUUGAUGAUUCGAGUAGUCAGAUGGAAUGGGACCAACUGUUAGCUCCUCUAGUUUCUCAGCACAAUGGAAGCAAAGUUUUGGUAACUUCUCGACGGGAUACAUUUCCUUCUGCUCUUAACUGUGAAAAGGUGCUCCGUUUGGAAAGCAUGGAAGAUACUCAGUUCUUGGCACUCUUCAAAUACUAUGCCUUCACCGGAGCACAAAUCAGAGAUCCUCCCUUGCUUGAAAGGCUAGAAGAGAUUGCAGAGGAGAUAGUUAAAAGGCUUGGACAGUCUCCUUUGGCUGCAAAAGUUGUUGGUUCCCAGUUGAAAGGGAAAAUGAAUGUUCCUGCCUGGAAAGAUGCUCUAACUUUAAAAAUUGAGAAUUUAGGUGAGCCCAGAACAGCUCUGUUGUGGAGUUAUCAGAAGUUAGAUCCACGUCUGCAGAGGUGCUUUGUAUAUUGCAGCUUGUUUCCGCAAGGACACAAGUAUAAAAUUGAUGAGUUGGUUCACUGGCUGAUAGCGGAGGGGCUUGUUGAUCCAUGCAACCAGAACAGGAGAAUGGUAGAUGUUGGAAAGGAUUACCUCAAUGAGAUGGUUUCUGGGUCUUUCCUGCAACCAUUUUCUGAUAGAUUUGUGAAGACAUACUACAUUAUGCAUGAUCUUGUUCAUGAUUUGGCAGAGUUGCUCUCUAAAGAAGAUUGCUUCAGAUUAGAAGAUGAUAAGGUGGCAGAAAUACCAUGCACCGUUCGUCAUCUAUCUGUUCGUGUUAAGAGUAUGAAACAACAUCAGCGCAGUAUCUGCAAGCUACAUCAUUUGCGCACUGUUAUCUGCAUUGACCCACUUACAGAUGAUGUGAGUGAUGUUUUCGAUCAGGUACUGCAAAACUUGAAGAAGUUACGUGUACUCUAUUUGUGCUUCUACAAUAGUAACAAGCUACCUGAAUCUGUUGGUGAGCUGAAGCACCUUCGGUAUUUAAACCUCAUUAGAACUUCCAUUGCCGAAUUGCCUGGAUCAUUAUGUGCUCUUUACCACCUACAGUUACUUCUGUUAAACCAUAAAGUUAAGAGUUUGCCUCACAAACUAUGCAAAUUAAGCAAGUUACGGCAUCUUGAAGGGUAUCAAGAUCUGGGAUACAGGAUGUAUGAAGUAGCUCUGCCUCAAAUCCCUUAUAUAGGCAAGCUAACUUUGCUCCAGCAUUUUAAAGAAUUUUGUGUGCAAAAACAGAAGGGAUGUGAGUUGCGGCAGCUCAGAGACAUGAAAGAGCUUGGUGGCAGUUUAAGAGUCAGAAAUCUCGAGAAUGUCACUGGAAAGGGUGAAGCCUUAGAGUCGAAGCUAUAUCAGAAAAGUCAUAUUGGAAGCUUGAAUCUUGUCUGGGGUUGCAAUAAUAGCAUGAAUGCAGAUGAUAGUUUACAGUUGGAGAUUCUAGAAGGCUUGAUGCCACCGCCUCAACUGAAAGGCCUGAAAAUCAAGGGUUACAAAUCUGACAUGUAUCCAAGUUGGCUACUUGAGGGUUUGCAUUUUGAGAAUUUGGAAUCUUUUAAGCUCGUCAAUUGCAGUGCGUUAGAAGGCCUGCUACUCAAUACCGAGCUCUUCAGGCAUUGCUCUGAACUGAAGCUCAAGAAUAUCUGGACUCUGAAAACAUUAUCUUAUCUUCCAGCAGCCCUCACGCACUUAACAAUUAGCAGUUGCCCACUGCUUAUGUUUAUUGCCAGUGAUGAGCUAGAACAGCAUGAUCAGAGGAAGAACAUCAUGAGAACAGACUACUUGGCAUCACAACUUGCUUCAUUGUGGGAGGUGGAUUCCAGAUCGCAUAUUAAUAUCAAGAGAGCAUUAUCGUCAGAACAUUCAUCUCUGAAGCAAAUGAUGACAUUAAUGGAUGCUGACAUGUCACAUCUUCAAAUCAUUGCAAAUGCUGUAGAAAGAGAGAACGGUGAGGUAAUGCUGAAAGAUGAUACCAUCAACGCAUGGAUAUGUUGCCACGAGCAGAGGCUGAGAUUCAUUUAUGGAAGAAGCAUCAGCUUGCCCUUGGUUCCACCAUCUGGUCUUCGUCAACUUCAUCUUUCUUCAUGCAGUAUUACAGAUGGGGCAUUAGCUGUUUGCCUUGACGGUCUCACGUCACUGAGACGUUUGUCCUUGAUGGAGAUCAUGACUUUAACUACAUUUCCAUCACAAGUGGUUCUCCAACAUUUGACAAAGCCCAACGACCUUUACAUUUCAUCCUGCUGGUGUCUCAGAUCAUUAGGGGGGUUACGAGCUGCUACCUCUCUUUCAGAUAUUCAAUUGUUUGACUGCCCUUCUUUAGACUUGGCACAUGGAGCAAAUUUUUUGCCAUUAUCUCUUGGGAAGCUCCGUAUACAGCGGUGCAUGGUUACAACUAAUUUCUUCAGUUGUGACUUGCCAUUCCUGAUGAAUCUUUCCAUGUUUGGGUGCAGAAGCUCUGCAUCCUUGUCGAUUGGUCACCUGACCUCCCUUGAAUCACUAUCACUAGGAGGUAUCCCUGAUCUGUGCUUUCUUGAAGCACUGUCUUCCCUGCAACUUCGCUAUGUACAUUUGACAGACGUCCCGAAGCUCGACGGGAAGUGCAUUUCACAGUUCCGGGUACAAAAAUCACUAUAUGUUAGCAGCCUUAUGAUGCUCAACCACAUGCUCUCGGCUGAAGGUUUUACAGUUCCACCAUUUCUGUCUCUUGAAGGAUGCAAGGAGGCAUCUGUUUCAUUCGAAGAAUCAACAGAUUUCACAUCUGUCAAGUGCCUCAGGUUAUGUGAUUGCGAAAUGAGUUCCCUGCCAAGAAAUCUGAAGUGCUUCUCCAACCUGACGAAACUCGAAAUCCACAUGUGUCCCAAUAUAUCACCUUUACCAGAUCUGCCAUCCUCCCUCCAGCACAUAGUCGUGUGGAAUUCUGAACUCCUGCAGAAGAGCUGCAGAGCACCUGACGGGGAAGCUGGCCAAAGAUUGAGCAUAUCCGCUGGAAGGAAUUCACAGAAUUUCCACACUUGCAACUAUAAAGAGAAAAGGUACAAUAUUCCCCCAGUGCCUUUGCAAAUAUGAACUUUUUAAAUAUUUGUUUUUAUCUUUCUCUUUCAAAUACUUCAUUUGUUCCAAAGUUCCAUUCGUUUAUUUAUUUCAUGCAGCAGGACCAACAUCUUUCCCCUCCAAUGAUCUCGUCUCCACCCGCUGCCUGUCAGGGGUUGGAGUGCCUCAAUCUCACUUGCACUUCAGCUCUCUCCAUCGCCUUUGUCGAUCGCUCCAUCUGUCACUCUUCCUCUGAAUGGGCCCACCACUAGUGUUGCGGCGCUUGUCUAAAUUUGAAUCUCUUCCACAAUUGUUGUCGUUAAUUUGUUAUCCUGUGUCGGCGUGUUACUUUUGAUUGGUGGUGCAUGUAACAGUUACCCCUCGUGUACUGAGAUGCACUAGCAUCCAAUAGUUUCAUGUACAUUCAAUAAUCUCAUCUAAUAAUUUUGGACCCUGAUAAGUGUCGAACGUCAGGUACGAGCACAUGGUAACUCCGAACAUUUUUGAGGGCAAGUUUAGUUACGUGCGGAUGAUAACUUUAGUUCGCAAGCAUGGCAACUUUCGCAUUUCAGUUUAUUUUUGACAGAAAUUUGCCUGUGUAUCACUGGAAUUUGCCAUCCUUAUAUGAUUGAAAUUGUCAUCGAAAAACGUCAGGGCCGGAGUGCCACGCACCUGACGUGUGGCACUUACCAUUUUGGUAAUUUUGUGGAGGGCUAAGCUCCAUAAUUCCGUAUUGUAGCUGAACUUUCUGCAGUUACUUUUGGAAAGGUAAUUGGAGGACCCUUUGUCAAGACUGAGUGAAUAGUUAAAUGUGCUCACUGGGAAGUGAAGACAUCGCUGUCGACUAGCAGUCCCGGUGAAAAGCUUUGCCAGAAUGGUGGUCGCAGUGUGAUUCAACGAAAGCACAACGGGGCGCCAACAGUUUGGGCUGGUUCGGACUGGAACUGAAACUGAAGCAAGACGAGGCACAUUUUGUUGCUCAGAGACGUGUGACCUUUUCUUGAAGAAUCUUGUUUUGGAUACAAUGGAGUACUUUGAAAAUAUGAACAGGAAUAAAGCAAUCGACAGGAAUGGACAAUCUCUGGAGAGAGGAGAAGGCAAGGUAGGAUCAUUUGGGACAGUAAACAAUUACAGUGGCCAAGCCCUGGUGCACGGUUAGCUGAACAGAAGGGCCAUAGGCCAUCAAAUCUUGAUGCUGGUCCCUGCCGUACGUUCCUUCCAUUCUGGCUACCACCUCGCCGUCCACGUCUGCGAUGCCACCCUGUCUCGGAUCCUCCACAAGUUGCCCCGGUGAAUACCGAAAGGAUUUCACCUGCAGAAGGCAGAAGCAGUGGAAAACAAAUUCAACACUGUAAGUUGAUAAUCAGGUUGACAGGGAAAAGAUGGCUAUAACCUUGAGAUAUGUAACAUGUGCCAAAGCCAAAAGAUCAAGCCUUCGGACAGUCUUUCAGUAGGACUGCAUCCAUGUAGCUACCUGAGAACUGGAUUGCAACCACACACAAAUUACACCAAUACUUAUUCUUGGCCAUCGCUUGCAGAGAUAAGGCCUUGAUCGUGGUCGUGGUGGAGAAACAGAAAGAGACUACCAGCUCCCAGUGCACCUCUGGAUCAGAUAUUUUGCUCUCUUGUCUUGCUGUUUGGUGAGCUCUGGUUCUGAUUUCUCUUGUAUUACAACACUUCUCCAGUCCUCCUCGUUGGCAACCUUGCAUUACCGUCGCCGCCGUGGUGGCUCCAGCAACGAUUCUGUCCUUCACUCCUUCACCUCUGUAAGCAUUCCAACCUUCUAUGCUAUUUAGUUUCCCCUGUACAGAUAGUUCCGUCCGCACAAAAGAAACAAAUUUGCUUGCAGGGCUCUGCUUUAAUUUUUCUUUUCUUUUCUAACAUACUGCAGUAGACUAAUUUGUUUUGUUGUUCUCCGCUCCGACGGAUAUUUUCAUCUAAUUGAUGUAUCCCAUUGUUUGCCUCAUGAAGUCUUUCUAAUUCCCUGCCAUUUUGUCUAUUUACACAGCAGCCAAGAUCUUUGUGUUCGCAGUGCAAAAGCCAUUUUCCAAUCCCCAACGAGCAGUCCCCUGUGAUUCCAUGACUGGGGUGGCGCUGGCUGGCUUAAAGUUGGCUGCAUCGCCAAUCCUGAAGAGGCUCCUCGCUGAUGCCUCAACGUUCCUUGGGGUGGACAUGGCAAGUGAGCUCCAUGAACUGGAGACCACAAUUAUGCCGCAGUUUGAGCUGAUGGUUGAAGCAGCUAACAAAGGCAACCACAGGGUCAAGUUGGACAAAUGGGUCCAAGAGCUCAAAGAAGCCUUCUACAAGGCUGAAGACCUGCUGGACAUGCAUGAGUAUGACCUCCUUGAGCGCAGAGCAAAGACUGGGAGAGAUUCCUCGCCACUGUGUGCCUCAUCCAUCAGCACUAUUUUGAAGCCUCUGCGUGCUGCAUCUAACAGGUUAUCCAAUGUUCGCCCAAAGAACAAGAAGCUACUUUUCCAGCUGAAUGAAUUGAAGGCCAUUCUAGCGAAAGGGAAGGGGUUCUCUGAGCUUCUUUGUUUACCAGGUGGUAACAGUGCAGAGAGGCCCAUUAUUCCUCAGGCCACAUCAUUACCACCUCUGAAAGUAAUAGGUCGUGACAAGGAUCGCGAUGAUAUAAUAAACCUUCUUACCGAGCCGGUUGCUGUUGAAGCUAAUUCAGCUGUAUAUGCGGGUUUGGCCAUUGUAGGAGCAGGAGGUAUGGGAAAAUCCACCUUGGCACAACAUGUUUACAAUGACAAGAGGGUACAAGAACAUUUUGAUGUCAGGAUGUGGGUGUGCAUCUCACGCAAACUUGAUGUCCAUCGUCAUACACGGGAGAUAAUCGAAUCCGCAGCUAAGAGGGAGUGCCCACGUCUUGAUAAUCUGGAUACUCUCCACUGCCAAUUAAGGGACAUACUGCAGAAGUCAGAGAAAUUCUUGCUUGU